This 209-nucleotide small RNA is filed under the name Vigna angularis var. angularis. RNAcentral describes it as "Non-protein coding transcript". Lineage: Eukaryota; Viridiplantae; Streptophyta; Magnoliopsida; Fabales; Fabaceae. The record is from RNAcentral.
CUUCCCAUUUGGAGGAAACAGCACUGGAAAGAUCAUUAUCUUUGUCUUGGAUGCAAAGUAUGAGUUGAAGAUUGUUCCAGGGACCGUGACGCUUCGGAGCAAUAUCAGAACGGAGCCGUUUGGCAGAAGUUUGAGGUUCGGCAUCUAAUCUUUGUUUUCGCUUCUGAUUUUGCCUCUUUGCAUUUGCUUUCGAACCGGCCAUGGUCGAG